AGGUUUCUUGUACAUAGUAGAACUGCAGAGCAUGAAGAAAAGAGGAAGCAGAUUUUAGCAACAACAAGUGGAGCACUGAUUCUGUAAAGCAGCUGUCUUGCAGAACAGUGGCAGUACCUUUUGACCAAAUUUGAUGGGGGUCCUCGAUCUCCUUCUAACAGCAGUAGCAUGACCUUGUUGUUGAAGAUAGUGAACCAGCUAGCCGUGUCAGAAUCUGCAUGCCGUAUUUGGUGCUUCUCGUAAUCUUGCACAAAAAAGACACUCCCCGCACUCUUGCACAUCUCAUUGUAGUUUGUUGUAGUUGGCUUGUGUUGAUGGUUUUAUGUUGUUAUAGAAUUACCCCUAAUUGUUUUGAUA
Daucus carota subsp. sativus is the source of this 357-nucleotide long non-coding RNA. RefSeq lists it as uncharacterized. The transcript has 3 exons. NCBI's taxonomy places the organism in Eukaryota, Viridiplantae, Streptophyta, Magnoliopsida, Apiales, Apiaceae. The record is from RefSeq and is a predicted model, not a curated record.